This is a long non-coding RNA of Vicia villosa (hairy vetch), 1852 nucleotides long. RefSeq lists it as uncharacterized. The record is from RefSeq and is a predicted model, not a curated record. The transcript is spliced from 3 exons. NCBI's taxonomy places the organism in Eukaryota, Viridiplantae, Streptophyta, Magnoliopsida, Fabales, Fabaceae.
AAAGCAGUAAUGCUAUAGUGCCCAUUCAUUCUCUCCCGUUCAAACACCUAAUAUGGUGGAAGGAAACUUUUUUAGUUAGAAAUGAAAACAGAUGCAUAGAUGCAUCUGUACGCAAAGUUACACGCUUUAUAGUGUAAAGUGAGUAUUAUCAACAAUUGAUUGACAAACCAAAUAUGAGUAUUGCAUGAGCAUCUUAAUAAAUCUUGAAAGUGUGCAAAAAUUCAAUUCUUGAUUUACUCUCUUUCCACUUUAUUUAUUGAUGAUGAAUCCAAAUCUUUUAGAAUUUUGAUACAAUAGUGACUACUAGACUUCAAUGCACUGAAGCUUCAAUUAAAAUAGAUACUAAUUUUACCUUCAUUUCCUCAAUCAACGGCGGGAAUCCCCCAAUAAGUGUCAUGAAAGUUAGGACAGACAUCAGAAAUGAAAGUAGUGAUCCUCUGACCUGAUGCAUGCCACAUACGAGAAAACAAUUACAGCUCAAAUAUAUAAAUCAUUGGGAAUACUGAUCUCUUACUUGAGCCGACCUGAUAGAAGAUGGUGCCUAGGCUUAUAGCUAUUGCAAUAAAGACAACAAGACGUAACCAGUAGUUGCUGAUGUCACGAUACAAUUGCAGGGAAGAUCUUUUUAUAAGAACCAUGCAUUGACUCAGAAAUAGAGCAUGUGUCCUCCUAUUCCUCAUUGCGCCCAAAUCCUAGUACGUACAAUUUCAUAAAACAAAACGUUAAAUCUUACAGUUUAGGUGGGUUCUGUGGUGGAUCACCUUGAUAAGCGUUUAUGGUGGAUCAAUACUUUAAAAUAACUUUGAAACUCUAAUGACUAUCGACAACGCCCAUUGAAAGUAGGAGUUCAUGGUCCCCCAUAUUAUAUUUGUUUUUCUAUAUUUAUCAAACCAACACUGAUCAAGUUUGUGUCUUAGUCGUGUCGACAAGGAGACCAGAACUUUACUUCCAGAAGGAGGUGUUUAUCGUUGAUGGAGUUUCCAACGGUUUUCAGUAGUGAUCAGAAGGAUUGUAGAGAGUUGGACAAGGGAAACCAUUUGAAGCAAAAAACUGCACUGAAUCAAGUGUCACUAUAUGUAUUUUGUCAACUUGAAAUCAAUGUGCUACAUGGAUUUUAGUUCAUAACCUGAUUUGCUUCAGAAGCUGGACCAAAAUAGACUGUCUCUCCAGAAGAAAGAAGACAGAGGUAAUCAAAAAGUUCAACAACUUCACUACUCGGCUGAUGGAUGGAUGCAACAAUUGUUCUUUGAAUACCAUCCCUUAGACUUAAACUUGCAAUUCUACUCAUAACAUAGUAGGAAGCUGCACUAUCAAGUCCACUAGUUGGUUCAUCAAGAAAAAGAAGUCUAGGACGUGUUAGAAUCUCAAUGCAAAUACUUAGUCUCCUCUUUUGUCCUCCACUUAGGCCCUUAGAACCAUACCCUCCAACCCUUGUGUUAAUAGCAUCUUGCAGGCCCAUUUCUCUAAGUGUGAUAUCUGCUUGUCUCUUCUUCUCUGCUAUGGACAUUGAGUUUGGAAAUUGAAGUUGAGCUGAGUAGUAUAAAGUUUCACCAGCUGUUAAAGCUGACAGCAUAGCAUCAUCUUGUGUUACAUAACCCUGAAUUUUCAUGGUGGGAAAAAGGUUAGUACUCAGGAUUUCUAAAAUAAUUAGUUUUCUCUACCAAUAGAUUGUUGCUUUUUUUAGGACUGAUGUAGUACUCAGGAUUUUUGUCUUACUGAUGUUCCAUAAGCCAGUGUUUGUGUUUUUCCAUUGAUUAAAAUCUUCCCCGAUUGUUGUAUGUCUGAUCUCAAUCUUCCUGCAAUAUUGAUUGAAUCAUAUUAUAAUUGUCUAAUAAAUAGCUUCCAAUCACAA